CAGCCGCCACGGGAAUACGUAGGGCGCAAGCGUUGUCCGGAAUUAUUGGGCGUAAAGAGCUCGUAGGCGGUCUGUCGCGUCUGGUGUGAAAUCCCGAGGCUCAACCUCGGGCUUGCAUCGGGUACGGGCAGACUAGAGUGCGGUAGGGGAGACUGGAAUUCCUGGUGUAGCGGUGGAAUGCGCAGAUAUCAGGAGGAACACCGAUGGCGAAGGCAGGUCUCUGGGCCGCAACUGACGCUGAGGAGCGAAAGCAUGGGGAGCGAACAGGAUUAGAUACCCCCGUAGUCCCUGUCUCUUAUAC
RNAcentral lists this ribosomal RNA (301 nucleotides) under uncultured bacterium. RNAcentral's name for it is "partial 16S ribosomal RNA". It matches the Rfam family "Bacterial small subunit ribosomal RNA", at positions 509 to 807 of the family's 1533-position model. The record is from RNAcentral.